RNAcentral lists this ribosomal RNA (425 nucleotides) under uncultured bacterium. RNAcentral's name for it is "partial 16S ribosomal RNA". It matches the Rfam family "Bacterial small subunit ribosomal RNA", at positions 354 to 796 of the family's 1533-position model. The record is from RNAcentral.
GUGGGGGAUAUUGCACAAUGGGGGAAACCCUGAUGCAGCGACGCCGCGUGGAGGAAGAAGGUUUUCGGAUUGUAAACUCCUGUCGUUAGGGACGAUAAUGACGGUACCUAACAAGAAAGCACCGGCUAACUACGUGCCAGCAGCCGCGGUAAAACGUAGGGUGCAAGCGUUGUCCGGAAUUACUGGGUGUAAAGGGAGCGCAGGCGGGAAGACAAGUUGGAAGUGAAAACCAUGGGCUCAACCCAUGAAUUGCUUUCAAAACUGUUUUUCUUGAGUAGUGCAGAGGUAGAUGGAAUUCCCGGUGUAGCGGUGGAAUGCGUAGAUAUCGGGAGGAACACCAGUGGCGAAGGCGGUCUACUGGGCACCAACUGACGCUGAGGCUCGAAAGCAUGGGUAGCAAACAGGAUUAGAUACCCCUGUAGUCC